Molecule: long non-coding RNA, 153 nt
Organism: Etheostoma cragini (Arkansas darter)
Lineage: Eukaryota; Metazoa; Chordata; Actinopteri; Perciformes; Percidae
Exons: 3
Source: RefSeq, a predicted model, not a curated record
UAACAUGUCUGGAUUUACCCUGCAGAGAUUUGAGAAGCGGUCAACAGUAGUCCUUAUAAAUCCACUGGAUUUAAAUUUCUAACACAAAGAAAGUAGAAGGUAACGGAAAAUACAUGCGUCUGGCGGAAUUUCCUGCGGCAACAGAGCUACCCC